UUAAAAACAUUUAAAAACGUGGAGGGGCUUAGCGCGUAAAUAGACUAUUUGGUCUAAAACACGCGAAUCUCCCUAUACUCGGGUCGGGUCACACGGGUCAGGGGCCAAAACGGCGUCGUUUUGAGCCUCUGAACCCACACAUCAAACGACGUCGUUUGCUUCUUCACAAAAGCCCCUAAAAUUUCUUCUAUUGCUUCAUUUUCAGCCGACUUUAAGAAAGUUUCAGGAACUUUCUUCUCUCUACCAGGGUUUCAAACCCUUUCUAAUGCCACCGUCGGUCCUGCCCUCCUCCACCGUUGAUGGCGGUCAUGGCAACAACAGACGGCUUUCCAGGUGAUGGUAUGAUGGGACGGAGGCAGUGCAAGUGGAGGCAAGUGGCCCUAGGGUUUGCUGCUUCUUUUUUUUCUGCUGGUGGUUUGGGCUUGUUUGUAAUCGGGUCUGGGUCUUUGGGGUUAGUUUUGGGCUUAGGUAUAUUGGGCUGAUUUAGGCCCGAUCAAAUUUGGACCAGUACACUUUUAUUUUAGCCAUCCAACCAGUAAAUCUUUAACGUCA
Long non-coding RNA from Gossypium arboreum, 552 nucleotides. RefSeq lists it as uncharacterized. Lineage: Eukaryota; Viridiplantae; Streptophyta; Magnoliopsida; Malvales; Malvaceae. The record is from RefSeq and is a predicted model, not a curated record. The transcript has 2 exons.